Molecule: ribosomal RNA, 343 nt
Filed under: uncultured bacterium
Lineage: Bacteria
Description: partial 16S ribosomal RNA
Rfam family: Bacterial small subunit ribosomal RNA
Source: RNAcentral
CCUACGGGUGGCAGCAGUGAGGAAUAUUGCACAAUGGGGGAAACCCUGAUGCAGCAACGCCGCGUGAAGGAAGACGGUUUUCGGAUUGUAAACUUCUGUUCUUAGUGAACAAUAAUGACGGUAGCUAAGGAGCAAGCCACGGCUAACUACGUGCCAGCAGCCGCGGUAAUACGUAGGUGGAAGGCGUUGUCCGGAAUUACUGGGUGUAAGGGGAGCGAAGGCGGGAAGCCAAGUCAGCUGUGAAAACUACGGGCUUAAGUUGUGGACUGCAGUUGAGACUGGUUUUCUUGAGUGAAGUAGAGGUUGGCGGAAUGUCGGGUGUAGCGGUGAAAUGCGUAGAUAU